Capsicum annuum is the source of this 1393-nucleotide long non-coding RNA. RefSeq lists it as uncharacterized. The record is from RefSeq and is a predicted model, not a curated record. The transcript is spliced from 2 exons. Lineage: Eukaryota; Viridiplantae; Streptophyta; Magnoliopsida; Solanales; Solanaceae.
CCCUACCCACAUGGUCCCCCAAGCACGUUUUUUUUUUCUCUCUUUUUCCUGAGAAGAGAUAUAUAGAAGGGGCUUCUUUUCCUCAUGGGGAGGACACAUACAGAGAGGGAAAAGAAAGAAAAAACUCUCCAUGGUUCCAAUUUUCCUAACGAUACAAACACAUACAUAUGCAAAAAUCACACACACACACGAGAAUCAAAGAUAUUAAGAAGUGUCAACAGCGACAGAGAGUGAGAGAUAGGUCGAGAAAGCCAAAGUAGUGAGGAAAAAGGAAAAAAAAUGGACUGAGAUUCGAAAAAGGGCGGAUCGGAACAGUGAUACCGGCGAUAAAUCCGGUUUAUUUCGUGUUUUCUGGCGAAAUUUUCGCCAUAAUCGGUUCAAAUUCAUCGGGACGACUCACCCAGUCCCAAAAUCCCCCCCCCCCCAAAAAAAAAUCCCUGAGUUUCCUCCACCUUUAGGCAUAAUCUCGGCGGAAAACGCUAAAGUAGCCGGACUCCGACUCUUUUCCGUCGAUUCUUCUCGCCAUUCGAGUCUACCGGAGCUUUAGUCGUGGUUUUGUUUUGGUUCUUCCAUUUUUUCUGGUUUUGCGUGGACGGCUGUUCUUCGGGAUUCUAGUUCGACUCGAAUUUUGAGAUCAGUUUUUUUUUUUAUCGAGUUGGUUCGUCGUUGAGUGUUCUAUUCAGGAUUCUAAGUACGGUCCUUCUUAAAUCUUAUUACCGAUGAUACCGGUUCUUCAAAGAUUGGGUUGGUUGUCCCGAUUCGCGUUGUUCCAUUACUGGUUGGUACAUGUUUCUAGGCAUAUCCUUGAUAUCUUGGAAAUGUAAGAAACAAUCCCGUACAUCUAAAUCUUCUAUGGAGGCUUAGUAUCGGGCUACGUCGGCAGCAAGUUCGAAAAUUGUUUGUCUACGACGCCUAUUAUCUGAUCAGCUUGGUGUUGCUAUUAUAUCUCCUACGGUGUUACAUGAUGAUAACAGUAGUGCGAUUAAAAUAGCCACAAACCCUAUGCAACAUGAAAACACAAAGCAUAUAGAGGUGGAAUAUCAUUACAUUAAUUUGGGAACUAGUUGUUGACCGUCUUAUCACUCUUCAACACAUUUCUUCUCAUGAUCAACUUGUCGAUUUGUUUACAAAGGCUAUGACACGCGUACGACAUAGCUACCUUAUCUCCAAAUAUCUACUAUGUGAUCACCGGUAUCAAUUUGAGGGGAGAUGUUAGGCAAUAUUAUAAUUGUAUAGACAUAAUAUUUUCUUUCCUAGAAUAGGAUUUAAUUAUAGAUUGGGUAGUUAUAAUAAUAUAUAUUCUUCCCUAGAAUAGAACUCUAACCUACAGUUGUAUAGCUAUAAGUAUUUCAUUAUGUAUUAUUGAACAGAAGAAAAAUUGCUAUUGAGAAAA